RNAcentral lists this ribosomal RNA (253 nucleotides) under uncultured bacterium. Its description in RNAcentral is "partial 16S ribosomal RNA". It matches the Rfam family "Bacterial small subunit ribosomal RNA", at positions 524 to 776 of the family's 1533-position model. The record is from RNAcentral.
UACGGAGGGGGCUAGCGUUGUUCGGAAUUACUGGGCGUAAAGCGCACGUAGGCGGCUUUGCAAGUCAGAGGUGAAAGCCCGGGGCUCAACCCCGGAAUUGCCUUUGAGACUGCAUCGCUAGAAUUGUGGAGAGGUAAGUGGAAUUCCGAGUGUAGAGGUGAAAUUCGUAGAUAUUCGGAAGAACACCAGUGGCGAAGGCGACUUACUGGACACAUAUUGACGCUGAGGUGCGAAAGCGUGAGGAGCAAACAGG